Long non-coding RNA from Felis catus (domestic cat), 2579 nucleotides. RefSeq lists it as uncharacterized. The record is from RefSeq and is a predicted model, not a curated record. Lineage: Eukaryota; Metazoa; Chordata; Mammalia; Carnivora; Felidae. The transcript is spliced from 3 exons.
AGCUGUCAGCACAGAGCCCCAUCCAGGGGUUUGAACUCAUGAACCCUGAGAUUAUGACCUGAGUUGAAGUCGGAUGCUUAACCAGCUGAGCCACCCAGGUGCCCCAAUGUUGAUAUUUUCUGAAACAAGACCCAGAAGCUUUGGGUCACUUGGUCUAUUGCAGCUGGUGUUGCUGUGAGCACUGUCCUAUGAGCUGCUAACUUGUUAGAAUCAGUAAGCUUUGGAUGUGACCCAUGGAGCUCUGGGAAGGCUGCAGUAACUUUGGACUUGUCCCUCUUUAUGGGGAAGUGAGAUCAUAAGUUUCCUCAUCAGCCUCUCUUUCUUUCAUCUUAGACAUGUUUACAUGAGAAAUUCAGCUUAACCCUGAACUUCCUCAGCUAUAUACUGCUUCUAGGCUGGAAGUUUAAUUCAUUUAUUUUAAAGAGCUCUUCACCUGUCUGUAAGCAGGAAAAAGCCAUUUGUCCAUACUUUUCACUUUUUGGGGGGGUAUAAUUAGAAGUAGCAGAACUCAGAGGCCCAUGCUUCUUGACAAUGAGACCAACAAGACAAAUAUGCUAGAAUGUUUAGAGAAAAUUGAAAAUAGAGACCUAAGUGAAAUCCCAGGGGGUGGUGGGUAUUGUGUCCAAAUUAUCAAAGCCCAUGGUGAUAUGAGGAUGUUAGCUUGUGUGUAUACAUAGUCAUUUGUAUUGACAAAUGUUGUUUUUGUAAUAAAAUUUACAAAAUUUGUAAACGUAUAGAAAAUAAUAAGCCAUUUCACAUUAUAAAUUCAAUCUAAGCCCUAUGCUCCUUUUUCAUACCCCAUUAUCUUUCCUCCCUCUCUGUGGGUAACCACCAGCUUCAGUCAACUUAGUGUUUAUUGUUCCCAGGCAUAUGGACAUAUUUUACCAUAUAUGUGUGUAUCCAAAAAUAACAUGGUAAUGAUGCAUGAAUUGUGUGUACAUAUAUCAAUUAGCAUAACCUAUGGAAUGUCAGCAUAAAGCAACUUUACUUUUGUCUCCAAUAUUAUUUUUGUGCCUUUACAUUGAUUUGUUGGGUAAAGUUCUUCCCCUGCCCAUGGAUGAAAACUGAAGAAGAUCCAUGAUUACUCUUGUCACUUUUGGUUGAAAAAAAAAAAAAAAUCCCAUGAUCAUUAUAAGUCACAAAACACAAUCCCAAUUCAGUAAUUAAAAUGUCUAGGGGACACCUGGGUGGCUCAGUCAGUUGACAUCUGACUCUCGUUUUCGGUCAGGUUGUGGGAUCGAGCCCCAUGUCGGGCUCUGCACCGAGUGUGGAGCCUGCUUAAGAUUCUUUUUCUCUCUCCCUCUGCCCCUCCUCCCCAUCUUAAAAAAAAAAAAAAAAAAGUCCAGUUUGUUAUUGUCAGAACCCCCUCUGGAGAAUAGUGCCCUGUUCGGGGCUUAGCAUUGACCUCUGUUUGCCAUUCAGGCACUCAGCAGUGGCAGUAUCCAGAUCAGUCACAAUGAGAGGAAGUCUGUGUUGUUGAGUCAUAGGUAACUUCCACCUGUGCCGCCAUGAUUAGUUUACAUGGUCCCAUGGUCCCAGGGGGCUGGGAAGAGGCUGACUGCCACCAAAGGACUCUCCACUUCCACACUGGCCAAGUAGCCACCCCCACAAACCAGUGAACCAUGCUCAGAUUUCCUGCUCAUUCAUUCCUCUCAUUGGAAGCCAAGAGAGCCUGGCUGAUGGAGUCCACAGGGAUCAGUUUUCUAGAACAUAAAGGAGCACAAGGAGGAGAAAGAAUCUAGAAGGGCAAAAGGAGACUCUCCAGCCCACCACACAUGCUUGAGUCUGCAUCUGGGUCUCUAUUCUGUUCCAUUGUUCUGACACUGGAAUCCUCAAGAGUAGUUAUCUCUAUGCAAGUCUACUCUGGUGGAGUUUAAGCCGCAGAGAUCUUUCCAGUCUUAGAACUUUACAAGGGGAGUAUACAAAUCACUAUAUUAUCAAGUCAAACACCUUACUAAUCAAGAUGUAGUGAAGUAACUCUGCUAAUGACCAGUCAGCCUGUAUCUUACUCACUUAACAAACUGUUAAAUAGAUGUAACACUCUGCAUGAUGAUGCGUGGUUAGGGAUAGAUCCAAGGGUAGGUAGAAACCACUUCUGCCCUCAUGGAGUCUGAAGGGUUAGGGUGGGGCAGGGAAGAGCAGUGUAUAAAUGAAAUCUAGCACCAACACUCUGACCUCCCUUAUAUGGACUUAAAACAACAAAACAGGAAACAAAGCAUGUUACUCUUGACAAACUAUGACUUUAGGCUAGGAGCCAGGGCCAAGUGGAAUACAGAAGGAACUUAAUUCAGGUCUAAUGACCUCCUUUCUGAAUACUGGCUACCUGAGUACUAUUUACUAUUUAUUAGUGUAAUUGGGAAGCUGAAAAUCUUAUAAAGAAAAAUAAUUUCACAAAAAUCAGAAUAUGGACUAUAUAAGCAGUUAUACUCUACAAAUGCACUUCAUUUUAAAAACAGUCAUCAGAUGAUCCAAGAUAGCUAACAAUACUGAUUUUUUCCUAAUGAAACAUCCUAAUCUUUAAAUUUUUUAAAUGUUUAAUUUUGAGAGAGGGAGAGAGAGAGAGAGAGAGAGAGAGAGAG